CAAGGAAUAGUUUAAGUAGAAUGUCAGCUUUGGGUGUUGAUGGUGGGGCUUGAGUCUCUUCCUUGAG
This 67-nucleotide transfer RNA is filed under the name Rousettus amplexicaudatus (Geoffroy's rousette). RNAcentral's name for it is "tRNA-Pro". It matches the Rfam family "tRNA". From Rfam's summary of the family: Transfer RNA (tRNA) molecules are approximately 80 nucleotides in length. Their secondary structure includes four short double-helical elements and three loops (D, anti-codon, and T loops). Further hydrogen bonds mediate the characteristic L-shaped molecular structure. tRNAs have two regions of fundamental functional importance: the anti-codon, which is responsible for specific mRNA codon recognition, and the 3' end, to which the tRNAs corresponding amino acid is attached (by aminoacyl-tRNA synthetases). tRNAs cope with the degeneracy of the genetic code in two manners: having more than one tRNA (with a specific anti-codon) for a particular amino acid; and 'wobble' base-pairing, i.e. permitting non-standard base-pairing at the 3rd anti-codon position. Lineage: Eukaryota; Metazoa; Chordata; Mammalia; Chiroptera; Pteropodidae. The record is from RNAcentral.